AGUGGCUCCAGAAAGCAGCAGAAUGAGAAUUGCCUGUGUCCCUGUGAAUGUCCAGAGCAAAGAGGUGGGUCUUAAGAAGCUGCUUUAGACAGAAAAACAGACAGUACUGGAAUGAAAGUCCCCAAGGUAAUUGAUUAGUUGUCCCCACUGACUGAAGCUAUCCACCGUGGAUUGAAAAGCUGAAACAUCAGGUGACAUGUUUUCACUUCAACAGUCUGCUGGCCAGUUUCUAAGUUAAGCACAGGGAAGAGAAUGAAAAAAAGAAUCAAAGGAAUGACCCUUUGCAUCUGUUUAGCUGGCCAUGACUAGGUCUCCCACAUUUUUCACUCUCAAGGGGAGAUAAAGCAAGAAAAUAUUGAGUCAAUGCUGCCAGGAAUUAUCAACCUUUAAGAAAAUUAGAGGAUAUUUUUUCCCACUGGAGGAGACAAAGAGUGGGAACUCAAUUAUUCAAAAGUCUUCAGAUCCCUAAGGACUAGAACCUGAGUGAAGAUGUAAAGAUUUGUUGACCCAAAUCUUCCAAUUCUGGAUGAGAAGAGGUCAGGAAGACUUUCCAAAAAGACUUCAAGGUUUCUACAUGGUCUCAUGUAGGAAAACUACCAUAUCAAGUCUUACCAAUGGAUUGUAAUCAAAGAAUACCCAAGUAUUUACAUCAUAAAGGUUAUCAGGAGAGAAGGCUGCACUCUGGCACUGCUGCAGGAGAGACUACGCAGCUUCACCCUUGUAUCCGAAGCUACACUGAGAAAAAUACAGGAUCAUGGUAGUCAAGAACUUACAUAUUGCUGGAAUCAGCAGCUCUGAUCAGCUGGAAAGUAGCCAUGAAGAACACAAUCUAUCAAAAGCCUGCUGCUAUCCCUGAGGCUUUUAUGACCCAUAUAAACAUACUUAGGUGCAUUAAAAAUUAAGGAAUCAUAACAUUAUAUUGUUUCUUUGAAUUGAUGACAAAGAUAUACUUAGAGGAACUAUGAUGAGUGCUUGAGUAAUAAGUAAAUAAACAAUGUCGCAGUAGGAACAAGUAGCUUGUGAUGCAAAUGUUAUUGUUGUGUCUUAUGGCUUUUGUUCCUUUAUACUUUAAUAAUUUUGGGAAGAAAAAACCCAAUCACAUUAAGAAAAAGUUAGGCUUCAAGUAGCAUGUAAAUUACAUCCUGAGAGAUGUUCAUAUCGAAGCACUUAAUCUUUCAGAGAAAUCCUCAGCCAUCUGUUUGCCUUAGGAUCAGAGAGAUGGCUGAAAAGGAGUAGAGAAUACACCUCAGAUUAAUUUACAGUGCUCCCAUUUGCAAUCAGACCUAAUAUGCAGCCCAAAUGCUUAUGUCUGUUUUCCUACCAUAGAAAACAUGCCCCUAAAUCAGAAAACAGUGAAAUUCCCUCUAAGAAAAACCAAACCACGAAAUCUGUGUUCACAGAUUCACAACACUAGAUGAGAAUGUUUGUUCUCUCAGCACACAUCUUCUAUGCAGCACAUUUUUCCUCCACUCUCACUUAUCUCUUGCUUGAAGACUGCAAGGGAGUACUCAGCGAAGGUCUAACACCAAACUUAGCAUCACAAUUGCCUUCACUAGAAGCCACUUUAUAAAAUUUUCAUAAAGCAGCACCACAGUUUCUGUAGCUCUGGCUCCUGUGAAAUUUCAGACUUUAUUUUCUUCUCCUUUUAGAGUGAAGUCACAUAGUUCAUAGGGACACUGUGUGAGAAAGCCUAGAUUUUCCCCUAAAUAUGCAGGUAAAUCUAAGAAAUAGAGCACUGUACAUGGGUCUAGGCUAUCCAUAUAUU
Zonotrichia albicollis (white-throated sparrow) is the source of this 1765-nucleotide non-coding RNA. NCBI's taxonomy places the organism in Eukaryota, Metazoa, Chordata, Aves, Passeriformes, Passerellidae. The record is from RefSeq and is a predicted model, not a curated record.